AUGACGGUGCAAGACGAGGCAAGCCGAGGGGGGAGGCGUGGAGGGCGACGCGGAGGGCGACGCAAAGCCUCAGCCACAGUCACGUUCCCCCCAGCUGAGUGCUCCCCGUCAUCCCAUGAGGACGUUCCGCUUACUGUACCUUCAGCGCAACUGAAUCCUCAAGAGGCAUUUGAAAAGUUUGUGGAGAGGCUUUCAUCUCUAAAUGCCUCUGGUCCUUCUGCCAAGCCUCAAAGAAGCUCUGCAUCUUCAUGGACUUUUCGGCAGCAGAAAGCCUCAGAGCGCUGGACAGAAGCACGACCAAACCACCUACAAGGCCUCAUUGAAAAGGAGGCUGUUGGUCAUCCCUUGUGUUGCCUCUGCCCCAAGCCGGCUGUUAUUAGGUGCAGAGAGUGUCUCCCUGAAGGGUGGUUCUGUGGGGACUGCGAUGUACUGCAUCACAAAAAACAGCCACUCCACAACAGGGAAUGUCUGAUACGUGGGUUCUUUGAACCCAUUCCUCCAACCACACGCGUCAUGAAAGGGGAGGAUGGAUAUUUCACUCAGGAGCAAGCUUGCAUCUUGCCAACUGUGAGUGUGUCAAACUGCGUCUGCGAUGGCACAACCUUCACUGUGUUAGCAGGCAAACCAGUGAUUUUAAUUAACAUCAAUGGUAAAAACAAUUCACUAUUUAAAUUUAUAUUUGAAGAUGAUUUCCAGAAAUAAAAUCACACAUCAAGAUAUUGGGGGUCUUUCAAAAUGUGUUUUAAGCAUGUUUUUUUUCUUUCUUGCUCUAAGGACGUUAUGACUUGCAUCAGCCACUGUAUGUAUGUCAGACGUGCCAGCAGCAGAUGACCCCUGACAUGAAGCACUUCCUUCAGAGUGGAUAUUGGCCAGCCUCUCUCAAUACUUCCACGUUGUACACGUUGGACCUCUUGAGCUCCUUUCAGGAACUGAAAGUAAUCUCUCCAGAAGUGAUUCUCCAGACAGGCCUUCGCAAAGCUCCUGGAGCAUCGCACCAAGUGUGGAGGACGAGUUAGUAUUAUUGUUCUUGGACAUAUUACAACAUUUCUGUGCAUAAGCAGACAACAUCCCAAAGAUUUUUUUAUUCUAUGUAUCUUCCAGUCUGGACAUAUCAAAGGUGACACCCUGCAGCGCAGCUUCUUGGAGUUUUCAUAUGCUUCGUUUGAGAAGGACCAACUCUGCUGUGGUGCUGUUCUCACCUGCCCAGCCUGCACACCAGAAAUGUUGGCUGUUUCAGUAGAUGGAAACAGAAAGUUAUAUCGCUUUCGCCGAAAUGGAAGGUGCUCCUUGUUCCAGUGUUAUUAUUGAUUGAUUGAUUGAUUGAUUGAUUUAGUUACAUAUUUAAUACAUUUAAUUUCUAUUUGUCUUCCACAGUUCUGGUGACCAUGCCUUUUUUGAAGGUUUAUUUGUGGCUGAAGACAGUGCAGUGUCUGGAUUUGUGGACAUGAUCCAGAAAGCUGUGAAAAAGGCAAGUUUGAAUCGUAAUUUGACAAAAUACUUCUGUUGCUAAAAUAAACAUAUCUAUCCAACAUAGAUUUCCUCCCCAACUGCAACUUCUGCCUGCCAACUAAAAAAUCAAAUUUAGUGAAUACAUGGCAUAUAUAGUGUUUUAUGAUACCAUUGAUUUUAUUUGAUUUAUUUUUGUUUACGUGUCAUAGACACAGGGAAGAGGCACGUGUGGGGACUCCCAAUGGACAGCAGCAUGGGAGACAUCAAGAAGGGCAUCCAAAUUGGAUGAAGAGGGCAUGGAGGUUGCUGUGUGUCGCCAUGGUUUCCUUCUUAAAGCCCUUAACAUGUACAGGGGAGAAAUAUUUGCCUACCCCAUGUACCUUCAAAAGGAGCUGAUGCCAGCCAAGGCACAAUUCUUUGCCAUGGAUGUGGCUUGCAAAUACUGGCCAUACCUGGAGAAAGUUGCCAGUGUCCUUCCUGCUCUCCAGGAGCUGACCACCAUGAAACCUUUCCUCAGCGUCAUGCAUGCUCGAGCUCAUGCUACCAAGUGUGAGGUAUGUUUAUUAUUUUUUAUUAUGGUAUGUAAAUUGUAAUGUUUAUAAUAUUAAAUUGAAGUUAAUGGGUAGACUAUAUUAUGUAUAUGUUUUGUGUUACCAUUCCACUCAACCUUUGCUAACAGAUUAAAUGGAGUGGUAGGAACCAGGAAGGAGCAGGGACAACCGCCGGUGAAGAGGUGGAACAAGUUAACAGCUACCUCUCUCGUUGUGCCCUUACGACAAAAUAUAUGUCGGAAGCAGGUGAACAGAGUGUUUUCCAUUAUGUUGCAUACUUCUUUUCAAAGACUGCAUGCCAUCAACUCAUACUUUGCCUUCAAUAGCCCGGUUGGACAUGCUCACAUUGCAUGCAAUGUUGUGGAACCAGAAGAAAGGGGAUUCCUUACACCAGGCACUUUUUUUGUCCUUUGUUUUUAUCAUUUGAGCUGUUGUUAAUCCUACAGACUUUAUCCUGAUUACUGUGUUACACUGUUUAUCAGACUUGUCAGAGGCUCCUGGAUGAGACUGCAAUGCUAGCAGAGCUAAAAACCC
Long non-coding RNA from Gadus morhua (Atlantic cod), 2534 nucleotides. NCBI's taxonomy places the organism in Eukaryota, Metazoa, Chordata, Actinopteri, Gadiformes, Gadidae. The record is from Ensembl.